AUUGAACGCUGGCGGCAUGCCUAACACAUGCAAGUCGAACGUGAAAGUCCUUCGGGGCGAGUAGAGUGGCGGACGGGUGAGUAACGCGUGGGAAUCUGCCUCGUAGUGGGGGACAACCCGGGGAAACCCGGGCUAAUACCGCAUACGUCCUACGGGAGAAAGGGGGCCUCUGCUUGCAAGCUCCCGCUAUGAGAUGAGCCCGCGUCCGAUUAGCUAGUUGGUAGGGUAAGGGCCUACCAAGGCGACGAUCGGUAGCUGGUCUGAGAGGAUGACCAGCCACACUGGGACUGAGACACGGCCCAGACUCCUACGGGAGGCAG
RNAcentral lists this ribosomal RNA (320 nucleotides) under uncultured Pseudomonadota bacterium. Its description in RNAcentral is "bacterial SSU rRNA". It matches the Rfam family "Bacterial small subunit ribosomal RNA", at positions 30 to 351 of the family's 1533-position model. The record is from RNAcentral. Lineage: Bacteria; Pseudomonadati; Pseudomonadota.